Long non-coding RNA from Pyrus x bretschneideri (Chinese white pear), 983 nucleotides. RefSeq lists it as uncharacterized. The record is from RefSeq and is a predicted model, not a curated record. The transcript is spliced from 4 exons. NCBI's taxonomy places the organism in Eukaryota, Viridiplantae, Streptophyta, Magnoliopsida, Rosales, Rosaceae.
UCAUCUCUACAAUUCGACCGGGUUUUCAUCGCUUUACCAUUUGGUUUGUGUUUUGUCUCUCGCCACUCUCUCUGCUUCUCUCCAGCUUUUGCUCUUGCUUUUAGUUCUUCUCGAAUCGUCUCUCAAUGUUAAUCUCUCUACUUCAACUGCGUCUUCUUCACUUUACCUUUGGGUUUCGUUUUUCAGCUUCGGUAAUCUAUGACUUGUUAAUUCUGACCAAGACUUUCUCUAUCCUCUCUCCUUUUUACAGCCAUUAAUGAAUCACCAUGAGGUUUCAUUUCCUGCUUUUUAUCAGUUCCAUCUGCAUCUUUUUUAAGCCAGAAGAGCGAACUUCAUGCAGUACAGCAAUUUCUUGGAAGGACCAGAGAUUACGUUAUAAAGCACGGAGCCUCUUUACAUUGUCCAAUUCAUAUUGCUUAGUGCUGAUGUAUAAGGAGAACUCUCAUUGCAUCAACUUGAACAACCAUGCUUUUGCUUAGUUGCUAACCGCGUUAAUUUUUAUGCCGUGAAUCAAAGAACCAGAGCCUGUCCAUACUGGAGAGCUCCAUAGGAGAGGGUGGCUGCUUUACGAAAUUUGCAAAGGGCAGAAAAUGAAUGUGAAAUCUGACACCAAUUGAAUAUACCGUCAAUGCCCAUCUUGCAUAGUUGUGAGUUUUGAACUCCUCCUCGCAAGAGAAAAACCCAAUAACUUUUCGUUUCAGAGUUUUGAUUUUUAUGGAAUUUGAAGUGAAAGAUUUGGUACUUAAUUUUGAGGUUUAAAAAAAAAAAAAAAAAACAUAAUGUUAUAUGCCAUAUCAGAUGUUAAUACACUUGGAUCACACAUUUCACGGGAAAAAUGAAUGCAUUCUUAAACUUAUGUAGAAACAAGAAUUCAGCAAGUUUAUCAUACAUAACGAAAGGGAAUACGGUUUAUCUAGAAAAAUAUGAAAUCAUUCAUUGUAAUUUUGGCUAUAUAUGAUUUGCUUCUGUUUUUCGUUUCAGAA